Non-coding RNA from Pelobates cultripes (western spadefoot toad), 660 nucleotides. NCBI's taxonomy places the organism in Eukaryota, Metazoa, Chordata, Amphibia, Anura, Pelobatidae. The record is from the annotation of a GenBank genome assembly.
CACACGGAUUCCACAAAUUAAGGGGAACGGGCAGACAGGCUGAAACCGGGAAGCAUACCAAUGCCGAAGACUCUCGAGACCGCUGACACCCAAACAGUCACCAUAGCCCAUAUACAUGCUAAGACUUGACGCAGGAAUACUCGUGACAGUUGGAGGUCACCUAACGACAGACCGUAGUGGGAAGGGCUUGAGACUGACCCAACAAUAACAAGAAUCUGACGGAUACACUCGGCUACCACUAGGGCGAAGUCCAAGGACAGGCCCCACGGUUAUGCAGAGACAGGGGUUGACAUAGACUCAUGGUCUGUUCACAUUCCACAUCUUACAUAAACCUGGCUACAUAGCCUCGACCUGUAAUUCCCUUAACUGACUGAACUCAUAUUGUAAGCCACAAACUUGCCAUGUUAAACAAAUGUUAUUUCUGGACGUUGUAUCCUGAUUGUUAUCCGGGAAAUGAUAAGAAACGAGCACACAUCAGCCGCAGAAAGGUCUAUUCUGCACAGCUACGAGUACGCAAAAAUUUUGGUAGUUACCUUGAUAUCGCACGUUGACUACCUACAUAAGGUAUAAGCAAGAUACCUCGCAAUGUACUAACUAAUGUCUAGGUGAUUAGCAUAACUGCACUUGCACUGUACAUAUGUUUACUACAGGACUCCAAAC